CCUACGGGAGGCAGCAGUGGGGAAUAUUGCACAAUGGGGGAAACCCUGAUGCAGCAACGCCGCGUGGGUGAAGGAGCGUUUCGGCGCGUAAAGCCCUGUCAGCGGGGAAGAAGAAAGACGGUACCCGACCAAGAAGCCCCGGCUAACUACGUGCCAGCAGCCGCGGUAAUACGUAGGGGGCAAGCGUUAUCCGGAUUUACUGGGUGUAAAGGGAGCGUAGGUGGCAUGGUAAGCCAGAAGUGAAAACCCGGGGCUCAACCCCGCGGAUUGCUUUUGGAACUAUCAGGCUGGAGUGCUGGAGGGGG
Molecule: ribosomal RNA, 305 nt
Filed under: uncultured bacterium
Lineage: Bacteria
Description: bacterial SSU rRNA
Rfam family: Bacterial small subunit ribosomal RNA
Source: RNAcentral